RNAcentral lists this ribosomal RNA (461 nucleotides) under uncultured beta proteobacterium. Its description in RNAcentral is "bacterial SSU rRNA". It matches the Rfam family "Bacterial small subunit ribosomal RNA", at positions 190 to 642 of the family's 1533-position model. Lineage: Bacteria; Pseudomonadati; Pseudomonadota; Betaproteobacteria. The record is from RNAcentral.
AGGAAAGUAGGGGAUCGCAAGACCUUGCGCUCUUGGAGCGGCCGAUGUCUGAUUAGCUAGUUGGUGAGGUAAAGGCUUACCAAGGCGACGAUCAGUAGCUGGUCUGAGAGGACGACCAGCCACACUGGGACUGAGACACGGCCCAGACUCCUACGGGAGGCAGCAGUGGGGAAUUUUGGACAAUGGGGGAAACCCUGAUCCAGCCAUGCCGCGUGAGUGAAGAAGGCCUUCGGGUUGUAAAGCUCUUUCAGCCGGAACGAAACGGUCACGGCUAAUACCUGUGAUCACUGACGGUACCGGAAGAAGAAGCACCGGCUAACUACGUGCCAGCAGCCGCGGUAAUACGUAGGGUGCAAGCGUUAAUCGGAAUUACUGGGCGUAAAGCGUGCGCAGGCGGUUUUGUAAGUCAGAUGUGAAAUCCCCGGGCUUAACCUGGGAACUGCGUUUGAAACUACAAGGCU